AUUGAACGCUGGCGGCAUGCCUUACACAUGCAAGUCGAACGGUAACAGGUCUUCGGAUGCUGACGAGUGGCGAACGGGUGAGGAAUACAUCGGGACGUGCCUAGUAGUGGGGGAUAACUACUCGAAAGAGUGGCUAAUAACGCCUGAGUACGACGGAGGAAGGCAGGGGAUCGGAAGUCCUGGGGCUACUAGAGCGGCCGAUGGCAGAUUAGGUGGUUGGUGGAUAAAAGCUUACCAAGCCGACGAUCUGUAGCUGGUCUGAGAGGAUGAUCAGCCACACUGGGACUGAGUCACGGCCCAGACUCAUACGGGAGGCAGCAGUGGGGAAUUUUGGACAAUGGGCGAAAGCCUGAUCCAGAAAUGCCGGGUGCAGGAUGAAGGCCUUCGGGUUGUAAACUGAUUUUGUACGGAACGAAAAGACCCGGGUUAAUACCCUGGGGUCAUGACGGUACCGUAAGAAUAAGCACCGGCUAACUACGUGCCAGCAGCCGCAGUAA
Molecule: ribosomal RNA, 497 nt
Filed under: uncultured bacterium
Lineage: Bacteria
Description: partial 16S ribosomal RNA
Rfam family: Bacterial small subunit ribosomal RNA
Source: RNAcentral